AUUGAACGCUGGCGGCAUGCCUUACACAUGCAAGUCGAACGGUAACAGGUCUUCGGAUGCUGACGAGUGGCGAACGGGUGAGUAAUACAUCGGAACGUGCCUAGUAGUGGGGGAUAACUACUCGAAAGAGUGGCUAAUACCGCAUGAGAUCUACGGAUGAAAGCAGGGGAUCGCAAGACCUUGUGCUACUAGAGCGGCCGAUGGCAGAUUAGGUAGUUGGUGGGAUAAAAGCUUACCAAGCCGACGAUCUGUAGCUGGUCUGAGAGGACGAUCAGCCCCAAUGGGACUAAGACACGGCCCAGACUCCUACGGGAGGCAGCAGUGGGGAAUUUUGGACAAUGGGCGAAAGCCUGAUCCAGCAAUGCCGCGUGCAGGAUGAAGGCCUUCGGGUUGUAAACUGCUUUUGUACGGAACGAAAAGCCCCGGGUUAAUACCCUGGGGUCAUGACGGUACCGUAAGAAUAAGCACCGGCUAACUACGUGCCAGCAGCCGCCGUAA
Molecule: ribosomal RNA, 498 nt
Filed under: uncultured bacterium
Lineage: Bacteria
Description: partial 16S ribosomal RNA
Rfam family: Bacterial small subunit ribosomal RNA
Source: RNAcentral